UCCAGAAUAGCCAAUGGGGAUAUCUGGAAAAGCUGACUGAUAUGCCUUGAAUUACAACAAAGUUGAUCUGAAUUAUAAGGAUAUCAAUUUCAGAGUCAUAGAGAGCAAAUGUAACAAUGACUAUAAGUGAAUAUACAGACAACUAGUGUCAUAAAACAAAUGGUUGGCUGUUUAACAGGUAAAUCCUUCUUUCAGUUAACAUGAACUAGCUGCACUGCACUACUGACUAGCCUGAUUUUGUUUAAGGGGUUCACUGGGACAACCAGCAUGAGUAAGGAAGGGUUGGCUCAUUGUACCUUAAAACUUCUCUGGUGCUUUUCCUAGUUAAGUUGUAUCCGUCAGCACCUAAACACCAAAGAUAGUGGGUUACACUAACAAUGUGUCUCUCUGUUCCCAUCCAAGAGUCAACUGGACUGAACCAAUUUAAAAAUUGCUUAUAUAUGCACGAGUAGUCUCACUGAAAACAAUGCAACUACUCGUGCAUUACGUUAUGCAUGUGCUUAAAUAUUUUCCAGUUUUGCAAACAUUUAUUUUCUUACUGCAGUAUCCUUAGUAAUCACAAAUGUCCAUGUGCCUACUACCAACAGGAACAUACUAUCUCAGGGAACAGAUGCAUUUUAGUCACAUUCUUGCUUUUCAUUGGAAAUAUUUUUAAUUAAAAGUUUUCUGACCUGACCUACUAUCUAGGUUCUUAGUGUCUGAUUGCCUACACAUUUUUGUUUUAUGCCACGUUAGAGUGCAGGCACAAGAUAAUAUUUCCAUGCAUAUUUCACACCCAGCACUGUUUAAGUGUGCAUAUAUCGACUGAUAAUAAAUAAAUCAAAUUUCUUGAUGCCACAUUCUGCCAAUCAGGGCUCCAGCAGAAGCUUUUACUUUGAUCCUUAGGGGAACUAGAAAAAUAUGAUAUUUUCUGCCCUCCCAGCAACAAAUACGAGCAUCACCAAGAUCUAGGAAUCUAAGUAAAAAUGCAUUAUUUCAUCUGUGCCCUGCCUUCUCUAUACACUGUACAUUACAUAUGAUUCACUGACCGUUAUCACAUGGAGGUUGACAUCUUCAGGCUGAAGAGGGUAAGCACUGGUGCACUGGAGAAUGCAGAAGUUGGGAUUGAUCGGUUUCACAAGCUGAUAAACCUUGUGCAUUGUGUCCAUUGACUGCAUCCCACUGGAAAUUACCAUUGGGCGACCUAGCCGGUAAAACAAACAGGGUCAUUUUUCUCCCAAGGCUUCAUGACUUAAGGCUAAUCUAUAUAUGGAAGUUGCACUGGUUUAACAUAAGAUGUGAAUUUAAACAAAUUCGGUUAAACUAGUGCAAAAUGUUGACUACUGCUAUUUCAGUGCAAGAAUAGCUUAUUUUGAUGUAGCUGAAACUUGUUCCAAAAUGAUUUAAGCUAAAGCAAUAUAAGGCUGGUUAAACUAAACUAAGUGUGUCCACAUAGCCUUUUGUACCAGUUUAACUAAAUCAGUUUAAAAAAAAAAAUCACACCUUUAAUUAAACAAGUGCAACUGUGUGUGUAGUGAAUCCCUUAGGUGUCAUAGCUACUAGAUCACCGCACCUAAGCAUUUGUCAAGAAUUUUAUUUUGCUGUCUGAAAUUAGUUAAACUAGAAAGAAUGUUA
Molecule: long non-coding RNA, 1614 nt
Organism: Dermochelys coriacea (leatherback sea turtle)
Lineage: Eukaryota; Metazoa; Chordata; Testudines; Dermochelyidae
Exons: 3
Source: RefSeq, a predicted model, not a curated record